Molecule: ribosomal RNA, 497 nt
Filed under: uncultured bacterium
Lineage: Bacteria
Description: partial 16S ribosomal RNA
Rfam family: Bacterial small subunit ribosomal RNA
Source: RNAcentral
GAUGAACGCUGGCGGCGUGCCUAACACAUGCAAGUCGAGCGAACACACGCGUAGCUUGCCCCUCUGAUGUUAGCGGGGGAAGGGAUAGUAAGAAGUGGGUACCCUCCCUAUAGAUCUGGGAGCAAUACGGGAACUCGGAGCUAAUACCGGCUACUGUUUUGAACAGCAUGGUUCAAAAGUGUACGCGGGUCUUGCUGUCCCUUAUAGAUGGAUCCGUGGUGCAUUAGCUAGUUGGUGAGGUCAACGCUUACCAAGGCAACGAUGACUAGGCGGUCUGAGAGGAUGAUCCGCCACCAUGGGACUGAGACCCGGGCCCGACUCCUAAGGGAGGGCGCAGUGGGGAAUUUUGGACAAUGGGCGCAAGCCUGAACCAGCCAUGCCGCGUGAAGGAUGAAGGCCUUCGGGUUGUAAAAUCCUUUUGUUAGGAAAGAAAAGCAUUCUUAUAAAACAGGAGGGUCCUGACGGUACCGUAAGCAUAAGCCCCGGCUAACUACGUG